UGCGCAGCGCGUGCUUGAUGACGAUCUGGCGAAAGCUCACGCCCUUCAGGCGGGCGGUGCGAAUGUACUGCGCCGUCAUCACUUCGGCCAUCGAAGCGCGGGUCAUGCGUGCGAUAUAUCCCAUGCCAUAUGCAGCCAUGGUGAUCACGGGCAGGGUGAAAUUGUAGAAGGUGAUGU
Molecule: non-coding RNA, 177 nt
Filed under: Pontivivens insulae
Lineage: Bacteria; Pseudomonadati; Pseudomonadota; Alphaproteobacteria; Rhodobacterales; Paracoccaceae
Description: Ruegeria cis52 sRNA
Rfam family: Ruegeria cis52 sRNA
About the family: Cis-encoded.
Source: Rfam by way of RNAcentral